GACAUAGGUGGCGAACGUUAUCCGGAAUUAUUGGGCGUAAAGGGUGCGUAGGUGGCGAAGCAAGUUAGCGGUGGGAAAUCAGGGCUCAACCCUGUGGAAGCCGGUAAUACUGUUAGACUUGAGUAUCGGAGAGGUUAACGGAACUCCCUGUGGAGCGGUGAAAUGCGUAGAUAUAGGGAAGAACAUCAAACGGCGAAGGCAGUUAACUAUUCGGCUACUGACAUUGAGGCAUGAAAGCGUGGGGAGCAAAACGG
Molecule: ribosomal RNA, 254 nt
Filed under: uncultured bacterium
Lineage: Bacteria
Description: partial 16S ribosomal RNA
Rfam family: Bacterial small subunit ribosomal RNA
Source: RNAcentral